UGCAGCAUACCGCAAGAUGUACAUGGGCGAUCAAAUGCUCGGCUACACUUGCACGAAGUGCAGUAAAUUCUACAAGAUGUGGAGCAACUAUUUGAAGCACAAGUGCGAACCCCCACAAUUCAAGUGCACCCUCUGUCCAUUUGCUGCCUUCAAAGCGUUCAUACUUCACGCACAUCAGGCUGAGCAGCACUUCAAAGUCCCCUCGCCCAACUCCUAAACGGCCAGGACACGGAUACGCCUGUUCCAACUGCGCUAAAACCUUCAAAUGGCAAAAAUCCCUUCAACGACACGUCCGAGAGGAAUGUGGGAAGAAGCCCUACCGAUGUCCCCACUGUCCACGUCUCCUAAACCUCCGAAACAGUCUGAUACGACACUUGAUGAUCAAACACGGCCAGGACUAUCGAAUCAGAGCUCAGCCCUCAGCGAGGAGCAGAUUUCGCAAUCAGUCUUAUUACCUAUGAAUUAAUUAAUUAUGGAUAAUAAACGGAGAAAUCGACGCACCGAGUUUCCUUAUCAAUCUGUCAUGUCCCUGUCAUCUCGCGACGAUUGGACUCCGGACGAUCGAAUCAACCGGAUCUUCACGAGAUGGGGGAGUUAAUUGUUGUUAUAAUGAGAUGUUUCUAUUGUUCCAUAAAAACAAAACUGCACUGCAAUUUACUUAAACACAAAAACCCGCAUGCUAAUGAAUCCCUGUCGAUUAAAAAAGAAAUAUUUCUGUAAAUAUAACGAGUUAUCGAUUAUUUUUUUGAUAAAUUCUCUGCAUUUACAAUCUAACUCGGUUAUCGGUGUUAAUUUAUUAAUUAAGUCUAUCACGAUGGCGCAUUAUUUAUGUAAAGAACUGAUUAUCUUGAUGGUACAGUAAAAAUCUGUAAUUUAUGAUUUUUUGUAUUUUUAUUAUU
Molecule: long non-coding RNA, 899 nt
Organism: Diachasmimorpha longicaudata
Lineage: Eukaryota; Metazoa; Arthropoda; Insecta; Hymenoptera; Braconidae
Exons: 3
Source: RefSeq, a predicted model, not a curated record